CAAUAGCGUAUAUUUAAGUUGUUGCAGUUAAAAAGCUCGUAGUUGGAUUUUGGGUCGGGGGCACCGGUCCGCCGUUCCGGUGUGCACUGGUGGCCCCUUCCUUUCUGCCGGGGACGUGCGUCGCACUUAAUUGGGUGGCGUUCGGAGUCGGCGUUGUUACUUUGAAAAAAUUAGAGUGUUCAAAGCAAGCCAUCGCUCUGAAUACAUUAGCAUGGAAUAACAUGAUAGGACUCCGGUCUUAUUUUGUUGGUUUCCGAGACUGGAGUAAUGAUUAAGAGGGACAGUCGGGGGCAUCCGUAUUCCAUUGUCAGAGGUGAAAUUCUUGGAUUUAUGAAAGACGAACUUCUGCGAAAGCAUUUGCCAAGGAUGUUUUCAUUAA
Molecule: ribosomal RNA, 379 nt
Filed under: uncultured eukaryote
Lineage: Eukaryota
Description: partial 18S ribosomal RNA
Rfam family: Eukaryotic small subunit ribosomal RNA
Source: RNAcentral